Long non-coding RNA from Dromaius novaehollandiae (emu), 1372 nucleotides. Lineage: Eukaryota; Metazoa; Chordata; Aves; Casuariiformes; Dromaiidae. The record is from Ensembl.
UGUUGAGGUCCAUGCAUGGUGGUCAGUGGGGCUGGAGGGAUCACGGGUGGCCCUCAGGGUCCAUGCAUGGUGGUCAGUGGGGCUGGAAGGACUGUGGACAGCCAGCAGGGUCCAUGCACGGUGGUCGGUGGGGCUGGAGGGACCAUGGGUGGCUGGCAGGGUCUGCACACGGUGGUCGGUGGAGCAGGAGUUGUCGGGAAGCCGCUGCGAGCUCGGGCAGCUCGGGGACACGGUGGUGGUUGGUGUAAUCACCUGCAGACAUGCAGCUCCCGCCUGCCCGACACCGGGCGCCGCGGCGGACCCAGCACCGCAGCACCGCAGCUCUGGGCGCAGGCUGCCAGAGAAGCACCCACGCAGCAGGGACAUGGCGGGGACCAGACUCCCAAAACCUGGGUGUCCCCCCAAACCCGCAUCUGGGGGUGCAGAGCGGGUGCCCCCAGCGAAGACUUGCACGCUCGCCCCCGUCGCCCGAGGUGCCACAGCUUCGUGCCCGCGGGUUGGGGACAAGCCCGGGUGACGGAGGUCUUGGCCGUGGCCUCGCUCGGGGUGUCCCCAGGUGCCCUCUCGCGUCCUCUAGCCAGACUCAUCCUGCUUCUCCAGUUCUGGUCCCGACUCCUCGCGUCCUUCACGCUGGACCGAAGCCGUACGUCAUCCCCAGAGCGUCCGAGGGCACCGGGGGGCUCGGGCUCGCCCUCUCCACGGCGAGCGGGGGACCCGGCUCCGUCGGCGGGGGACCGGGGCGACGGUCCCCGAGAGCAUCCCCACCGCCAGCCCCCACGGGAUGCACCCGAACCCGGCGCCUUAAGGCAGCUUAAAGCACAUAUCCCCCUCCUCACCCCCACCUCAUCCCCGAAUCCGCCCCGGCCAGGAGCCGGCGGGACACGGCAAAAUGCAGUCCGAAAAGAGCAGCCGCCCUCGGCUGGAGGAGAGACCUGAAUAAUCCUGCCCCGGGGGCCGGGGGGGCCGGGAUCUCGCCCUAUAAAUAAGGAGGUCCCCAAAUGCACCCGCCGGAGCGGGAGAAAAUUGGGGGGGGAAGCGGCGGGGCGGGGGGCCGGUGCACCGCCUCACCCCCCCACUGGGCCGUGGCCCCCCCCGCUCACUCGGCCCCCGACUCGGGGAGCCCCUCGGCGUCCAGGCAGCCGUUGAGCUGGGCCCCCGGGGCGCCCAGGGCCUGCGGGUCGUACUCCUCGUCGAGGAAGUCCAGGGAGUUGUUGCUGGGCAAGCCGCGGAUGGUGAACUUGUGGGACACCUUGGUCCACUGCUCCCGGUUGCUGGCCACCCUCUCGUAGAGCUCGGCGGCCUUGGGGAAGAGCUCCUGCAGCAGCCUGCGGGACCCGCACCCCUCAGCCGCCGACGGGGCACCCGCUCCGUC